GUUUAUGGUUAGGGUUAUGGUUGGGGUUAGGGUUAUGGUUGGGGUUAUGGUUGGGGUUAGGGUUAUGGUUGGGGUUAUGGUUGGGGUUAGGUUAGGAGACAUUCAUCCCUACCCCAAAAGGAGUAGAGGAAGCACAGGCACAGACUUUAUUAAUUUUUCCAAAAUAGUAUGUUACCCUUAAACACGUCAGUGUCCAUAGAGGAAAAAAUAAAUAAUAAAUAAUAAAUAGGGAUUUAGACUCAAGUUGGGUCAGAUAUCAGACUGUCAAUCAAAGUUUCACCAGGGACAGGACCAGGAGGGGGACUGGGUUGUGGUUAGGGGUCAGGAUUUUUUUAUUUUUUUUUUAACUCCUGACACUCUUCUGUCACACACACACACACUCCUGACACUCUUCUGUCACACACACACACUCCUGACACUCUUCUGUCACACACACACACACUCCUGACACUCUUCUGUCACACACACACACACUCCUGACACUCUUCUGUCACACACACACACUCCUGACACUCUUCUGUCACACACACACACCUGACACUCUUCUGUCACACACAACACUCCUGACACUCUUCUGUCACACACACACACUCCUGACACUCUUCUGUCACACACACACACUCCUGACACUCUUCUGUCACACACACACACUCCUGACACUCUUCUGUCACACACACACACUCCUGACACUCUUCUGUCACACACACACACUCCUGACAAUCUUCUGUCACACACACACUCCUGACACUCUUCUGUCACACACACACACACUCCUGACACUCUUCUGUCACACACACACACUCCUGACACUCUUCUGUCACACACACACACACUCCUGACACUCUUCUGUCACACACACACACACUCCUGACACUCUUCUGUCACACACACACACUCCUGACACUCUUCUGUCACACACACACACCUGACACUCUUCUGUCACACACAACACUCCUGACACUCUUCUGUCACACACACACACUCCUGACACUCUUCUGUCACACACACACACUCCUGACACUCUUCUGUCACACACACACACUCCUGACACUCUUCUGUCACACACACACACUCCUGACACUCUUCUGUCACACACACACACUCCUGACAAUCUUCUGUCACACACACACUCCUGACACUCUUCUGUCACACACACAACACUCCUGACACUCUUCUGUCACACACACAACACUCCUGACACUCUUCUGUCUCAUACACACUCACAACACUCCUGACACUCUUCUGUCACACACACACACACACACACUCCUGACACUCUUCUGUCUCACACACACACAACACUCCUGACACUCUUCUGUCACACACAGACACACACACUCCUGACACUCUUCUGUCUCAUACACACACACAACACUCCUGACACUCUUCUGUCACACACACACACUUCUGACACUCUUCUGUCACACACACACACACUCCUGACACUCUUCUGUCUCAUACACACACAACACUUCUGACACUCUUCUGUCACACACACACUCCUGACACUCUUCUGUCUCAUACACACACACAACACUCCUGACAC
Molecule: long non-coding RNA, 1546 nt
Organism: Tachysurus vachellii
Lineage: Eukaryota; Metazoa; Chordata; Actinopteri; Siluriformes; Bagridae
Exons: 2
Source: RefSeq, a predicted model, not a curated record